Molecule: ribosomal RNA, 460 nt
Filed under: uncultured bacterium
Lineage: Bacteria
Description: partial 16S ribosomal RNA
Rfam family: Bacterial small subunit ribosomal RNA
Source: RNAcentral
CCUACGGGUGGCAGCAGUGAGGAAUAUUGGUCAAUGGGCGAGAGCCUGAACCAGCCAAGUCGCGUGAAGGAUGAAGGAUCUAUGGUUUGUAAACUUCUUUUAUAUGGGAAUAAAGUGAGGAACGUGAUCCUUUUUGUAUGUACCAUAUGAAUAAGCAUCGGCUAACUCCGUGCCAGCAGCCGCGGUAAUACGGAGGAUGCGAGCGUUAUCCGGAUUUAUUGGGUUUAACGGGUGCGUAGGUGGUUAAUUAAGUCAGCGGUGAAAGUUUGUGGCUCAACCAUAAAAUUGCCGUUGAAACUGGUUGACUUGAGUAUAUUUGAGGUAGGCGGAAUGCGUGGUGUAGCGGUGAAAUGCAUAGAUAUCACGCAGAACUCCGAUUGCGAAGGCAGCUUACUAAACUAUAACUGACACUGAGGCUCGAAAGCGUGGGGAGCAAACAGGAUUAGAUACCCGUGUAGUC